AAGUCGUAACAAGGUUUCCGUAGGUGAACCUGCGGAAGGAUCAUUAACACGCUCUUGAAUCCAUUAUUCAAACCCAAACGCGAACCUUUCUCCUACCUAUAUGAGACACUGUCUCUAUAGGCUAACCGCUUGUGUGGUUUCAUUCCACAGAGGCGUUACACCCCUUUUUUUACCCCAAUCUUCAACCCCUUCUCUAUCAGUUCCUUCAGGCGCUUGACCGCUCGCAGUGAACUGAACCUCCUUGAGCCUGCGCCUUCGCAGGUUCCAUGUGAUUCUCUUACGAGCAUCAUGAAUACAAAUAGUUGUAACAACACAACUCUUAGCAAUGGAUAUCUAGGUUCUC
This 343-nucleotide unclassified non-coding RNA is filed under the name fungal sp. Its description in RNAcentral is "partial internal transcribed spacer region". The stretch from base 1 to 46 matches the Rfam family "Eukaryotic small subunit ribosomal RNA", at positions 1786 to 1831 of the family's 1831-position model. The record is from RNAcentral. Lineage: Eukaryota; Fungi.